GCCUACGGGUGGCAGCAGUGGGGAAUAUUGGACAAUGGGGGCAACCCUGAUCCAGCCAUGCCGCGUGAGUGAUGAAGGCCUUAGGGUUGUAAAGCUCUUUCGGCGGGGACGAUAAUGACGGUACCCGCAGAAGAAGCCCCGGCUAACUUCGUGCCAGCAGCCGCGGUAAUACGAAGGGGGCUAGCGUUGCUCGGAAUCACUGGGCGUCAAGCGCACGUAGGCGGAUUUUUAAGUCAGGGGUGAAAUCCCAAGGCUCAACCUUUGAACUGCCUUUGAUACUGGGGAUCUCGAGUCCGGAAGAGGUUGGUGGAACUCCGAGUGUAGAGGUGAAAUUCGUAGAUAUUCGGAAGAACACCAGUGGCGAAGGCGGCCAACUGGUCCGGUACUGACGCUGAGGUGCGAAAGCGUGGGGAGCAAACAGGAUUAGAUACCCUAGUAGUCGUU
This 444-nucleotide ribosomal RNA is filed under the name uncultured Hyphomicrobiales bacterium. RNAcentral's name for it is "bacterial SSU rRNA". It matches the Rfam family "Bacterial small subunit ribosomal RNA", at positions 337 to 798 of the family's 1533-position model. Lineage: Bacteria; Pseudomonadati; Pseudomonadota; Alphaproteobacteria; Hyphomicrobiales. The record is from RNAcentral.